UGGGGAAUAUUGCACAAUGGGCGCAAGCCUGAUGCAGCCAUGCCGCGUGUGUGAAGAAGGCCUUCGGGUUGUAAAGCACUUUCAGCGAGGAGGAAGGUGGUGAGCUUAAUACGCUCAUCAAUUGACGUUACUCGCAGAAGAAGCACCGGCUAACUCCGUGCCAGCAGCCGCGGUAAUACGGAGGGUGCAAGCGUUAAUCGGAAUUACUGGGCGUAAAGCGCACGCAGGCGGUUUGUUAAGUCAGAUGUGAAAAUCCCCGGGCUCAACCUGGGAACUGCAUUUGAAACUGGCAAGCUAGAGUCUCGUAGAGGGGGGUAGAAAUUUCCAGGUGUAGCGGUGAAAUGCGUAGAGAUCUGGAGGAAUACCGGUGGCGAAGGCGGCCCCCUGGACGAAGACUGACGCUCAGGUGCGAAAAGCGUGGGGCAGCAAAACA
Molecule: ribosomal RNA, 433 nt
Filed under: uncultured bacterium
Lineage: Bacteria
Description: partial 16S ribosomal RNA
Rfam family: Bacterial small subunit ribosomal RNA
Source: RNAcentral